UACGAAGGGGGCUAGCGUUGCUCGGAAUCACUGGGCGUAAAGCGCACGUAGGCGGCUUCUUAAGUCAGGGGUGAAAUCCUGGAGCUCAACUCCAGAACUGCCUUUGAUACUGAGGAGCUUGAGUCCGGGAGAGGUGAGUGGAACUGCGAGUGUAGAGGUGAAAUUCGUAGAUAUUCGCAAGAACACCAGUGGCGAAGGCGGCUCACUGGCCCGGUACUGACGCUGAGACGCGAAAGCGUGGGGAGCGAACAGG
Molecule: ribosomal RNA, 253 nt
Filed under: uncultured bacterium
Lineage: Bacteria
Description: partial 16S ribosomal RNA
Rfam family: Bacterial small subunit ribosomal RNA
Source: RNAcentral